This 263-nucleotide ribosomal RNA is filed under the name uncultured bacterium. RNAcentral's name for it is "partial 16S ribosomal RNA". It matches the Rfam family "Bacterial small subunit ribosomal RNA", at positions 524 to 786 of the family's 1533-position model. The record is from RNAcentral.
UACGGAGGGUGCGAGCGUUAAUCGGAAUUACUGGGCGUAAAGCGCAUGUAGGCGGUUUGAUCAGUCGGAUGUGAAAUCCCCGGGCUUAACUUGGGAACUGCAUUUGAUACUGUCAGGCUAGAGUAGGCUAGAGGAAAGGGGAAUUCCGCGUGUAGCAGUGAAAUGCGUAGAUAUGCGGAGGAACACCAAUGGCGAAGGCACCUUUCUGGGGUCAUACUGACGCUAAGAUGCGAAAGCAUGGGGAUUAAACACGCUUAGAUUCC